Molecule: ribosomal RNA, 404 nt
Filed under: Actinomycetes bacterium
Lineage: Bacteria; Bacillati; Actinomycetota; Actinomycetes
Description: Actinobacteria bacterium partial 16S ribosomal RNA
Rfam family: Bacterial small subunit ribosomal RNA
Source: RNAcentral
UGGGGAAUAUUGGACAAUGGGCGCAAGCCUGAUCCAGCCAUGCCGCGUGAGUGAUGAAGGCCCUAGGGUUGUAAAGCUCUUUCACCGGUGAAGAUAAUGACGGUAACCGGAGAAGAAGCCCCGGCUAACUUCGUGCCAGCAGCCGCGGUACUACGAAGGGGGCUAGCGUUGUUCGGAUUUACUGGGCGUAAAGCGCACGUAGGCGGACUAUUAAGUCAGGGGUGAAAUCCCGGGGCUCAACCCCAGACCUGCCUUUGAUACUGGUAGUCUUGAGUGCGAGAGAGGUGAGUGGACUUCCGAGUGUAGUGGUGAAAUUCGUAGAUAUUCUGUGGAACACCAGUGGCGAAUGCGGCUCGCUGGCUCGAUACUGACGCUGAGGUGCGAAAGCGUGGGCAGCAAACAGU